This is a long non-coding RNA of Nicotiana tabacum (common tobacco), 357 nucleotides long. RefSeq lists it as uncharacterized. The record is from RefSeq and is a predicted model, not a curated record. NCBI's taxonomy places the organism in Eukaryota, Viridiplantae, Streptophyta, Magnoliopsida, Solanales, Solanaceae.
CCCGUAUUGAUUUUAUUGUACUGCUUGUGGCUAGAUUCUAGAUGACUGGAAGCUGAUUUAAGAGGUAAAAGCGUGUUGGAGUAGAGUUUUGCUCGGAUUGAGAUCCAGGUGCUUCCGGUCACGAUGGCUGCUAAGUGAGGAGUCAGGAUCUUGGGAGACUAUCGAGGUAGUUGCAUAGCGUUCGCAUGCCUUAACUCUUCUUCAUUAUAUUUAUUUGUAUUUCAGUUCUUAUUUCUUAGUCAUUGUAGUAGACUGUAUCCCGGUGUAGAUGCUCAUAUACUCGGUGACACUUCUAUUUUGUGAGAGAAUUGCAUUGAGUUGCGAACUUAUUUCUGCUUUCAAAAGGUUUUGUUUCAA